UACGAAGGGGGCUAGCGUUGCUCGGAAUCACUGGGCGUAAAGCGCACGUAGGCGGCUUUCUAAGUCAGGGGUGAAAUCCUGGGCUCAACUCCAGAACUGCCUUUGAUACUGGAAAGCUUGAGUUCGGGAGAGGUGAGUGGAACUGCGAGUGUAGAGGUGAAAUUCGUAGAUAUUCGCAAGAACACCAGUGGCGAAGGCGGCUCACUGGCCCGAUACUGACGCUGAGGUGCGAAAGCGUGGGGAGCAAACAGG
This 252-nucleotide ribosomal RNA is filed under the name uncultured bacterium. RNAcentral describes it as "partial 16S ribosomal RNA". It matches the Rfam family "Bacterial small subunit ribosomal RNA", at positions 524 to 776 of the family's 1533-position model. The record is from RNAcentral.